Molecule: small nuclear RNA, 107 nt
Organism: Nomascus leucogenys (northern white-cheeked gibbon)
Lineage: Eukaryota; Metazoa; Chordata; Mammalia; Primates; Hylobatidae
Source: Ensembl
AUGUUCACUUUGGCAGCAUAUAUACUAAAAUUGGAUCGAUACAGAGAAGAUCAGCAUGGACCCUGCACAAAGAUGACAUGCAAAUUCGUGAAGCAUUCCAUAUUUUU